GUAAACAGCCGCUAAGAAUGGAUUUUACAAAUCUUGACCCCUAAGGGGGUAAAACGGGGGUUGGAAGUUUAUAUGAAAGUCCUAUGUUUUUGAAGUCAGAGACUUGAAAUUUAAAAUGUGUGCUCUAAAGAUAGUGAGGAGGUGUUCAAAUAACGUAUCUUUAGAAAUCAACUCCCUUUUGGGGUUAAAACGGGGUAUGGUAGGUUGACUCACUCAUCACGAAAUCUCCGAA
Molecule: unclassified non-coding RNA, 232 nt
Filed under: Melitaea cinxia (Glanville fritillary)
Lineage: Eukaryota; Metazoa; Arthropoda; Insecta; Lepidoptera; Nymphalidae
Description: misc RNA ENSMCXG00005008659.1
Source: RNAcentral